AUGAUAUGCAUGCAUGGGUCCAAGGUGACUCAUCAAGAGAAAAUAAAGAAGAAAAGGCAGAUAAAUCACAUGGCAUGGAGCUAUGCAUGUAGUAUCAUGCAUGCAUGCAUGCAUUGUGGUUGGUAUACAAGUAUACAUAUACUCCCUCCGUCCGGGAAUAAGUGUACAUCUAGUUUUUGUUCUAAGUCAAAGUUUUUUAAAAUUUUAACCAACUUUAUAGAAAAUAAUACUAACAUAUAUGAAAUCAAAUUGAUAUAUUAUCAAAGUACAUUUCAAAAAGAAUCUAGUGAUACUAAUUUGAUGCCAUAA
RNAcentral lists this ribosomal RNA (309 nucleotides) under Triticum aestivum (bread wheat). RNAcentral describes it as "partial small subunit ribosomal RNA". The record is from RNAcentral. Lineage: Eukaryota; Viridiplantae; Streptophyta; Magnoliopsida; Poales; Poaceae.